This 251-nucleotide ribosomal RNA is filed under the name uncultured bacterium. RNAcentral's name for it is "partial 16S ribosomal RNA". It matches the Rfam family "Bacterial small subunit ribosomal RNA", at positions 524 to 776 of the family's 1533-position model. The record is from RNAcentral.
UACGAAGGGGGCUAGCGUUGCUCGGAAUCACUGGGCGUAAAGGGUGCGUAGGCGGGUCUUUAAGUCAGGGGUGAAAUCCUGGAGCUCAACUCCAGAACUGCCUUUGAUACUGAAGAUCUUGAGUUCGGGAGAGGUGAGUGGAACUGCGAGUGUAGAGGUGAAAUUCGUAGAUAUUCGCAAGAACACCAGUGGCGAAGGCGGCUCACUGGCGAUACUGACGCUGAGGCACGAAAGCGUGGGGAGCAAACAGG